CCUACGGGUGGCAGCAGUGGGGAAUUUUGCACAAUGCUCGUAAGAGUGACGCAGCGACGCCGCGUGAAUGACGAAGUCCUUCGGGUCGUAAAGUUCUUUCGACAGGGAAGAAAAUGCCUAUAAGUAACUGUGUAGGUCUGGACGGUACCUUUCUAAGCACCCCCGGCUAACUCCGUGCAAGCAGCCGCGGUAAUACGGGGGGGGCGAGCGUUAUCCGGAUUUAUUGGGUUUACAGGGUGCGCAGGCGGAAGAUCAAGUCAGCGGUAAAAUUGAGAGGCUCAACCUCUUAGAGCCGUUGAAACUGGUUGGCUUGAGUGAGCGAGAGGUAUGCGGAAUGCGUGGUGUAGCGGUGAAAUGCAUAGAUAUUACGCAGAACUCCGGUUGCGAAGGCAGCAUACCGGCGCUCAACUGACGCUGAUGCACGAAAGUGUGGGUAUCGAACAGGAUUAGAUACCCUAGUAGUC
Molecule: ribosomal RNA, 464 nt
Filed under: uncultured bacterium
Lineage: Bacteria
Description: partial 16S ribosomal RNA
Rfam family: Bacterial small subunit ribosomal RNA
Source: RNAcentral